GAAGGACUAAGGUCAAAUGCAGUCAUAGAAUUCAUUUUUUUCAAUAUCAAAUCAUUUUUGGGUAAGAAUUAAGUACCUUACCGUGAUUGUUUUCAAUUAAAAUGGUCAAAAAUAGCAUCUUAAUAAAAGUCACUCAUUUCAGGAAGUAAUUUGAGUAAAAAAUGUCAGAAAUGGAAAAAUAUUUGAAUAGCUUCUCCAUUUUCAGCUUAUUGAGACGUCAUUGAAAAUAGAUGCCAUUUUUAAAAAUGAUUGAAUGACUUCAAUUGAAAAUGACCCUAACCCUGGAUCUUAUAGAUGUUUAAUACAUUCACUUUUCAAAGAUAGGAUGUAUAAAAUAUAUUCAGCUUAAGUGGUGUCAAGUGACUAUGAAAAACAUUGACAUGACAUUUAAACAACUAAACAUCACGUGAGGUUGGAAACUGACAGUCCAACACACACAGCUGUGACAAAUGGCUGUCAAACAUCACGCCAAUGAAGUGACUUCAAAACACACGUCACAGUUUGUAAAAUGGUUUGUGGUUUUAUUGGGAGAAUAGUAAGAAGGUAAGACAGUAUAAGUUAGACUGUACAAUGAAAGCAUUUUCUCAACAAACAAAAAACAAACAUCUGAACUGUAUAAGCAAGAGAGACAGUUUGUAACCAUUGUUGGACUCGUAUGUGACUUAUCUUCUUGGAUACUGUCCCAAAUGACACCCAUGUCCCUAUUUACUUAUACUACUUUAGACCAGAGCCAAUGGGUCAUCAUGUAGGGAAUAGGGUGCCAUUCGGAACGUAGCCAUCAUCUUGAAAUGAGGACAUGAAAACACCGCUAAGGCAAACACUGCAAGUAUAAAAACUUGAUUGGGGGAAAAAAGGCGAAGUCAGGUAACAGGAGGCACAACAAUAUCAGUCAUAUUCUGGCAGAUCAUUUGCAUAUUUUCCUCUUUACUAAUAAAGAACUGACCUGAUUACAUGGGGCAGCAGUAACAUAUCAUCGUGAUCAUUCUCAUAACAUACAGAAGUAUUUUUGCUGUGUGGACUGGAGCACAGUGCUGUUGCAUAGCUUUAAAACACCAUCACCUCACACAACUCAGUGAUGUCAUGAUGAGAGAGAGAGCAGGAAGGAGUUGUAGUAGAGGAACAGACAGUUCUCAGGGCAGGGCGGGGGUCUGACAUCACAGUUAACAGUUUGAAACCUCUGUAACUCUUUUUGACACAAUGAAUUACAACUCAGACUGGGUUAAAACCAGUUGUGGAGGCUGACCAGGCCACUGAAGGCAGGUUUCUGUCUGUAGCAGAAACUUAAUCAAACAGGCUUGGGCUUUGUGACAUCAUCAAAGUGGGCCUGGGCAUUUGAAAUGACCCUGUGUUCUAACUGACUCUUGGGCUGCAUUCCAACAUCCACACUAACAUGACACUUAGAAGCAGUGCAUUCUAACUAGUGUGCUAGCGUUGGCACACAUUUAAAACCACAGCAGCAGCAGAGGGAGAGACGGCCUGAAGGAGCAGUGACUGAAUACUGACCACUGUGUUACUACUGGCAGACUGUCUACCCAUUCUCUUACUGGAGCAGACCAAGGCCUGCAUCUGUCUGGGCUUUGUCCCAAAUGACAGCCUAUUCCCUACAUAGUGCACUACUAUAGACCCUAUGGGACCUGUUCAAAAUUUGUGCACUAUAUAGGGAAUAGGGUGCCAUUUGGGACUCCUAUUUGAGCUCUCCCUCACUAAAUAAGACCAGUAAGGGACAUGGGUCUACUGGGUAUUGAGUCACUCUGGAGGCCAUUUGGCAAAAAGCACCGACUGACUACAACCAUAGAAAUAGAAUGGCUAGAAACAGUUCUAGAAUGGACACAGUUCUAGAAUGCAAAUGAUUCUAGAAUGAUCACUUUGGGACAUGUUGGGUCCAGUGGAAUACUGUUGAUCAGGCCACUUCAGACCAGACAACACUCUUAAAAGGACCUAGCUACUCUAAAACAGCAGGGCUCCUAAGGUGGGCAAGCACAGUGAUGAUGGUUACAUCUAUUUAACCCAGGUCAGAGGUCACCCAUAAGGCUAAAUUCUUUAACUAUGGUGGCCCAUAAGGCUGUUUUGGGUUUCUGUUGCAUCUUAGUUGGAACUCCGUAGCAAUCUGUGUGGACAUGUACAUCCCCUGGGAGAAAGUGGUAUGCCUCUGUAGGACUGUGUGUGUUGUUCAAAAACCUGUUUGUUCAGCAUCGACAAAGGCAAAUCACAGACCCUAGUCUGGUCUGACUUACUGGUGUGUGUGUGUGGCGCGGGAGGAGACACUGGUCCCAGUCACACCAGUCCAUCCGCCUGGUAUAGAGGAUGAAAUGGUGGCCUUUCUUUCCAGAGCCUCGGGCCUUCAGCCAAGGGGCCCUGACACACAGUCUCAGCCCAGACAAAGAGCUCUGUGCUGGGGAUGACUCGGAGCUAUGGAAGGGGUGGCCUGGAGCUAUCAGUCAGAAGCCCUAACAGGGCUGACAGUGUUUGUGAGAGACUUGAGCUACACAUGCAGCAUGUUUGGCCAACGGGACUCAGACUGCAUCCAAAACUAUAUAGGGAAUAGCGCUCACUUGGGAGACAACGAGAGAGACAACGAGAGAGAGAGACGAGAGACAACAAGAGAGAGAGACAGAGACAACACGAGAGAGAGAGAGAGACAACACGAGAGAGAGAGAGAGACAACGAGAGAGAGAGAGA
RNAcentral lists this long non-coding RNA (2679 nucleotides) under Salmo salar (Atlantic salmon). RNAcentral describes it as "lncRNA (ENSSSAG00000119140.1)". The record is from RNAcentral. Lineage: Eukaryota; Metazoa; Chordata; Actinopteri; Salmoniformes; Salmonidae.